CCUACGGGGGGCAGCAGUGGGGGAUAUUGCACAAUGGGGGGAACCCUGAUGCAGCGACGCCGCGUGAGUGAAGAAGUAUUUCGGUAUGUAAAGCUCUAUCAGCAGGGAAGAAGAAAGACGGUACCUGAGUAAGAAGCCCCGGCUAACUACGUGCCAGCAGCCGCGGUAAUACGUAGGUGACAAGCGUUGUCCGGAUUUACUGGGUGUAAAGGGCGCGUAGGCGGAUGUGCAAGUCAGUCGUGAAAUACCGGGGCUCAACCCCGGGGCUGCGAUUGAAACUGCACACCUUGAGUAUCGGAGAGGAA
This 305-nucleotide ribosomal RNA is filed under the name uncultured bacterium. RNAcentral's name for it is "bacterial SSU rRNA". It matches the Rfam family "Bacterial small subunit ribosomal RNA", at positions 338 to 659 of the family's 1533-position model. The record is from RNAcentral.